This is a long non-coding RNA of Tachysurus fulvidraco (yellow catfish), 409 nucleotides long. RefSeq lists it as uncharacterized. NCBI's taxonomy places the organism in Eukaryota, Metazoa, Chordata, Actinopteri, Siluriformes, Bagridae. The transcript is spliced from 3 exons. The record is from RefSeq and is a predicted model, not a curated record.
GUGUUUUAGCUGGUCGACCUGUCCAAGGCUCAGGACAUUGAGUCUGGUGAUGGCACUACGUCGGUGGUGGUGAUCGCAGGAGCUCUAUUAGACGCCUGCUCCAAGCUGCUACAGAAAGGCAUCCACCCGACCACCAUUUCAGAGUCAUUCCAGAAGGCGGUGGAAAAGGGUGUGGAGAUCCUGACCUCCAUCAGCCAGCCGGUGAGACUCUGCUCAACAGCGCCACCACAUCACUGUGCUCCAAAGUGAUGUUCGCAUAGUCGAGAUUUAGUUCCAACAUUCCCCCAAGAAUGUCUGCUAAAGUUGAUGGUAAACAAGUGGAUCUGAUCAUCUCCUCUACUGCUGUAUCAGACUCUGCUCUAUACUAUUGUGCUCUGGUGCCCACAGUGACAGGAAAUCCAGCUGCACU